This 72-nucleotide transfer RNA is filed under the name Ictidomys tridecemlineatus (thirteen-lined ground squirrel). RNAcentral describes it as "Spermophilus tridecemlineatus (thirteen-lined ground squirrel) tRNA". It matches the Rfam family "tRNA". From Rfam's summary of the family: Transfer RNA (tRNA) molecules are approximately 80 nucleotides in length. Their secondary structure includes four short double-helical elements and three loops (D, anti-codon, and T loops). The record is from Rfam by way of RNAcentral. Lineage: Eukaryota; Metazoa; Chordata; Mammalia; Rodentia; Sciuridae.
GGGGAUGUGGCUCAGUGAUAGAGUGCUUGCCUAGCAUGCACAAAGCUCUGGGUUUGAUCCCUAGCACUACCA